This 180-nucleotide unclassified non-coding RNA is filed under the name uncultured Rhizobiaceae bacterium. Its description in RNAcentral is "partial 16S-23S ribosomal RNA intergenic spacer". The record is from RNAcentral. Lineage: Bacteria; Pseudomonadati; Pseudomonadota; Alphaproteobacteria; Hyphomicrobiales; Rhizobiaceae.
UAUAAACCUUUGGUUUGCGCUCACGUGCUGUUCGCCCCUUUGGGGCUGCACUCCGCGGGGGCGCCGGACGACCGGCGACGGCUCGCUGAGCCUGUAUGGGUGUCCAAUUGGACGCUUGAUACGCUCGGUAAGAUGGGCCCGUAGCUCAGUUGGUUAGAGCACACGCNUGAUAAGCGUGGG